RNAcentral lists this long non-coding RNA (325 nucleotides) under Cricetulus griseus (Chinese hamster). RNAcentral's name for it is "Six3os1 conserved region 4 (ENSCGRG00001008543.1)". It matches the Rfam family "Six3os1 conserved region 4". Lineage: Eukaryota; Metazoa; Chordata; Mammalia; Rodentia; Cricetidae. The record is from RNAcentral.
UAAGCCCUGCUCAGAAGUCAAGAGCAGCAGCGCCGCCGCUCCUUGCAGCCUUUCAUGCUGCAGGCGCUUCUCAUUCUUGUGUCUCGGCCUCUCUGGGCGCCCCGGGACAAAGCCCCCAGAACCCGGUCGCUCCCUUCCCGCUAAAUCCCCUUCGGGGUCAGUGCUCGCUACCAGCACAGGGCCGCACGCCUCUCCUGCUAGCCGUGUGGCUCUUAAAGAGCCCCACACCCCUCCGCCCCGCGUGGUCCUUCGACCCCCGCCACCCCUCCCCUCUCCUCCGGAUCUAGCCCCCCACGCCGACGCCUGAGGUCCCUGCUGCCCCGAC